RNAcentral lists this ribosomal RNA (373 nucleotides) under Scoliquadracus longipetiolatus. Its description in RNAcentral is "partial small subunit ribosomal RNA". The record is from RNAcentral. Lineage: Eukaryota; Metazoa; Arthropoda; Arachnida; Trombidiformes; Diptilomiopidae.
CUUAUGAGUUACUAAGAGUGACGGGCGAUAUGUGCAUGUUAAAUUUCAAUUUCAAAUCAAAUUUUUGAUUUAACUUUAGUUUUAAGUCCUAUUUUUUUAAAAAUUAUUUUGUUUUUAUUCCAAUAUUUUUUUAUAAUUGUAUUCCACGCUUUCUUUACAAUUGUCCUUGUAUUGAUUUGUUUUUUUAUGUUUGUUAUUUAUUAAAAUAAAUUUUUCUUAUUUAUUUUUUUAAACAAUAAUAUGAGUAAUUAAAUUUAAAGAGAGUUUUAUCGUGGGUUAUCGAUUAUAAUGCAGAAUCCCCUAAAUUGAUUUUACACCGCCAUUUUAAUUAGAUUUUUCAUAUUUUAGAUACUAUCUAGAUUUUUGGUUAAAA